RNAcentral lists this unclassified non-coding RNA (171 nucleotides) under uncultured Sebacina. Its description in RNAcentral is "sequence contains ITS1". Lineage: Eukaryota; Fungi; Basidiomycota; Agaricomycetes; Sebacinales; Sebacinaceae. The record is from RNAcentral.
GUGAUUGCGAAUCGUUGUCUUCAGUGCUGGCCAGCUCGCUGGCAAGUGCACGUUGGCGGCCUUUCAUCCAACCCCCUGUGCACCUUUGGCCUCUGCGAGCUUCGGCUAGCAGAGGAUUUUUAUACCCACUCGAAUGUAAUGAAAUGAUUGUCGUGCGCAAGCACUAAUGUA